This is a long non-coding RNA of Rosa rugosa (rugosa rose), 769 nucleotides long. RefSeq lists it as uncharacterized. NCBI's taxonomy places the organism in Eukaryota, Viridiplantae, Streptophyta, Magnoliopsida, Rosales, Rosaceae. The record is from RefSeq and is a predicted model, not a curated record. The transcript is spliced from 3 exons.
UCAACAACGCCUAAACUCAAAGGUUUGUCCCUUCUCUUCAUCGUCUUCCUCACCUCCACAUUCUUCUCUAUCUGGUAUACCAGCCACCGCCUUAGGAAAGUAAAAAGGACAUAGCCGCCGCCAUGGGUAAGUAGGAGGUGUCAACAGCCUUGGAAAUCAAGUUUCAGAUUGGUGAUUCCCCAAAGCUAUGAAGCUAGAGUUGGAACCCUAGAAUCAAGAGCUGGAACUCUAGAAAUCUGGAGGUGGCGAGUCUAGUAUCUAUAUGGGUAAGAUUUCAAUUAGAAUAUCCAAUUUUUCUUCGGUUAGACCUAUCUUGUUUUCUACGUAUACACCUCCUUUCCAGACACUAUAAAUAGGCUGACCAUCUAUGCUUUCCAUAUAGUUCCUUGAGUUGUUAGAUACAUAGAUAAACAAGAAAGAGAGAGAGAGAGAGAGAGAGAGAAAGAGAGUUUAAUUCGGUAUCUUAGAAGUGGAGGAGUGAAAAGUCAGGAACUUGUUUUCAUCCGGAUACUUAACGUGAAGAUUGAUUGAGAUGACGAAUAAAUAAGUUUGAAGUUAUUUUACUGCAAGGGUGUUUUUAAUAAUGUAAUAUACAUGUGUGUUAUGGUUAAUCAUGCUUGGGUUCCUAGACAAGAACUUGGAAUAUAGUUGACCUUUUGUUGUAAAUGUUGGUGUAAACCCCCCUUGUAAUAAAGGUUGUGUUUCAAUUUCGGAAACUUGUCUAGUAUCGUUCUUUUCCAAUUAUUCAUAUUUCGAUCUCGGAAAUUUA